This 1138-nucleotide long non-coding RNA is filed under the name Olea europaea (common olive). Its description in RNAcentral is "long non-coding RNA (OEUR_LNC013261)". Lineage: Eukaryota; Viridiplantae; Streptophyta; Magnoliopsida; Lamiales; Oleaceae. The record is from RNAcentral.
UUAUUUUCUAAAGUUUGACAACUCGAUAAAGACUCAUUCUUUAUCUCCAUAUGAUUGUGUCUAUAAAAGGAGAACUGAUUAUGAACUAUAUGAGUUUUAUCUUAGUGUCGAAAUUACCCACAUGAAUGUGAGGCAAUACGACUUUAGAACAACAUCCUUAACAUGACUUCUUAAGACUCGCGUACUAAAUCUUUUUAAUGUUUAUGUUAUAUUGAGUUAUAUGUUCGAGGUUUAAGCCCUAUUCUUCAAAAAAAAAUUUCAAAACUCAUUUUCAACCGUACAAUCUUCAAUAAAAUAAUAUUACAUGUAAAUUCAAAAUAUUUACUUAAUUUUUAAUCACAUAUUCUCCAUCAAUCUAUUAUUCAAAAUGCAUUAUUUCCCUCAAAGUGGGCUCAAACAAGAUUUUAUUGUUGAAUUAUAUUGUUUAUACUUGUUAUGUUAAUCAAUAAUCUACACACAAAUCACUCAUUUUUUCCAACAAUCUAAAUCGUGUUUGGUGAUUUGUAUGUAGAUAAUUCUUGAUAGGUAAACUCAUUAUAUAUGAAAUAAUGAAGUUCGAUCUAACUAACACCUAGAAGGGGGUGAAUAUGUAUUUGAUGUGAAAUUAAAACUUAUUCAUUAAUAAAAGCAACAAGUAACCAUUAUUAACUAAUCCUGAUGAAUUCACAUGCAAGCCUAAUCUAUGUUGAAUUACCGUAGUUAAUAAAUUGCUUAAACAUAAAUAACUCCAGAAAAUUGAUGACGAAGAAAAACCCCUCGUGGGGAUAAAAAUUCUAUGCCCAAGCCAAUAAGAAUCUAUUAGAAACGAAUCAACUUAUACUAUUGUCAGCCUCGAUUAACUCUAGUACUUUCUGGUCUCCUGACUGUAAUCAUCAAAGCCAUCCUAGAUUGCAUGCUCCUGCACCAACUGUCGCUUUUUUGAAUUCGUCUAUCUCAUAUGGAUCACCAAGAACUCUUCGUUCUCCUUCAAUGGAAACCUGGUCACCUUCCUUGAACUUUAGAACUCUGACAGAUUAUGUAGAAGAAUGUAUUUUGGUGUUUUGAUUGUGUGGAUUUGAUUUUUUCAAUUAUACGGCUAAAUCAAAAGAAGAUUUAACUGUUUUGCCACGCGUUUUAUAUAACGUGAUUUUAUACCGCA